UUUGACCGGCUCAGGACGAACGCCGGCGGCGUGCCUAAUACAUGCAAGUCGAGCGGACAGAUGGGAGCUUGCUCCCUGAUGUUAGCGGCGGACGGGUGAGUAACACGUGGGUAACCUGCCUGUAAGACUGGGAUAACUCCGGGAAACCGGGGCUAAUACCGGAUGCUUGAUUGAACCGCAUGGUUCAAUUAUAAAAGGUGGCUUUUAGCUACCACUUACAGAUGGACCCGCGGCGCAUUAGCUAGUUGGUGAGGUAACGGCUCACCAAGGCAACGAUGCGUAGCCGACCUGAGAGGGUGAUCGGCCACACUGGGACUGAGACACGGCCCAGACUCCUACGGGAGGCAGCAGUAGGGAAUCUUCCGCAAUGGACGAAAGUCUGACGGAGCAACGCCGCGUGAGUGAUGAAGGUUUUCGGAUCGUAAAACUCUGUUGUUAGGGAAGAACAAGUACCGUUCGAAUAGGGCGGUACCUUGACGGUACCUAACCAAAAAGCCACGGCUAAC
This 506-nucleotide ribosomal RNA is filed under the name Bacillus sp. J8A2. RNAcentral describes it as "bacterial SSU rRNA". It matches the Rfam family "Bacterial small subunit ribosomal RNA", at positions 12 to 501 of the family's 1533-position model. Lineage: Bacteria; Bacillati; Bacillota; Bacilli; Caryophanales; Bacillaceae. The record is from RNAcentral.